UGCGUAGGCGGAUUGGCAAGUCAGAAGUGAAAUCCAUGGGCUUAACCCAUGAACUGCUUCUGAAACUGUUAGUCUUGAGUGAAGUAGAGGUAGGCGGAAUUCCCGGUGUAGCGGUGAAAUGCGUAGAGAUCGGGAGGAACACCAGUGGCGAAGGCGGCCUACUGGGCUUUAACUGACGCUGAGGCACGAAAGUGUGGGUAGCAAACA
RNAcentral lists this ribosomal RNA (207 nucleotides) under uncultured bacterium. Its description in RNAcentral is "partial 16S ribosomal RNA". It matches the Rfam family "Bacterial small subunit ribosomal RNA", at positions 568 to 774 of the family's 1533-position model. The record is from RNAcentral.